RNAcentral lists this ribosomal RNA (676 nucleotides) under Inocybe mixtilis. RNAcentral describes it as "eukaryotic LSU rRNA". It matches the Rfam family "Eukaryotic large subunit ribosomal RNA", at positions 1 to 653 of the family's 3401-position model. The record is from RNAcentral. Lineage: Eukaryota; Fungi; Basidiomycota; Agaricomycetes; Agaricales; Inocybaceae.
UUGACCUCAAAUCAGGUAGGACUACCCGCUGAACUUAAGCAUAUCAAUAAGCGGAGGAAAAGAAACUAACAAGGAUUCCCCUAGUAACUGCGAGUGAAGCGGGAAAAGCUCAAAUUUGAAAUCUGACGGUUCUUGAUCGUCCGAGUUGUAAUCUAGAGAAGUGUUACCUGUGCUGGACCGUGUUCAAGUCUCCUGGAAUGGAGCAUCAUAGAGGGUGAGAAUCCCGUCUUUGACACGGACUGCCUGUACGCCGUGGUGCGCUCUCAAAGAGUCGAGUUGUUUGGGAAUGCAGCUCAAAAUGGGUGGUAAAUGCCAUCUAAAGCUAAAUAUUGGCGAGAGACCGAUAGCGAACAAGUACCGUGAGGGAAAGAUGAAAAGUACUUUGGAAAGAGAGUUAAACAGUACGUGAAAUUGCUGAAAGGGAAACGCUUGAAGUCAGUCGUGUCGGCCAGAAAUCAGCCUUGCUUUUGCCUGGUGUACUUUCUGGUUUGAUGGGUCAGCAUCAAUUUUGGCCAUCGGACAAAGUCUUUGGGAAUGUGGCAUCUUUGGAUGUGUUAUAGCCCAUUGUCGCAUACGGUGGUUGGGAUUGAGGAAUUCAGCACGCCUCGCAAGGGGCCGGGUAUUUAUACCACGUUCGUGCUUAGGAUGCUGGCAUAAUGGCUUUAAUCGACCCGUC